AGAGUUUGAUCAUGGCUCAGAUUGAACGCUGGCGGAAUGCUUUACACAUGCAAGUCGAACGGCAGCACGGACUUCGGUCUGGUGGCGAGUGGCGAACGGGUGAGUAACAUAUCGGAACGUAUCCAAUAAUGGGGGAUAACUAAUCGAAAGGUUGGCUAAUACCGCAUACGCCCUACGGGGGAAAGCUAGGGACCUUCGGGCCUGGCGUUAAUGGAGCGGCCGAUAUCUGAUUAGCUAGUUGGUGGGGUAAAGGCCCACCAAGGCGACGAUCAGUAGCUGGUCUGAGAGGACGACCAGCCACACUGGAACUGAGACACGGUCCAGACUCCUACGGGAGGCAGCAGUGGGGAAUUUUGGACAAUGGGCGCAAGCCUGAUCCAGCCAUUCCGCGUGAGUGAAGAAGGCCUUCGGGUUGUAAAGCUCUUUCGCAAGGGAAGAAAACUUAGGCUCUAACAUAGCCUGAGGUUGACGGUACCUUGAUAAGAAGCACCGGCUAACUACGUGCCAGCAGCCGCGGUAAUACGUAGGGUGCGAGCGUUAAUCGGAAUUACUGGGGCGUAAAGCGUGCGCAGGCGGUUUUGUAAGUCAGAUGUGAAAUCCCGAGCUCACUUGGGAACUGCGUUUAAACUNCAAGACUAGAAUAUGCAGAAGGGGGUAGAAAUCCACGUGUACCAGUGAAAUCGUAAAGAUGUGAGGAAUCCAAUGGCAAAGAACCCCCUGGAAAANNUGCCCUNAUCCCAAANCUGGGACAACNGGAUUAAACCCUGGNACCCGCCUAACAUCUCCANUGUGG
This 793-nucleotide ribosomal RNA is filed under the name uncultured beta proteobacterium. Its description in RNAcentral is "bacterial SSU rRNA". It matches the Rfam family "Bacterial small subunit ribosomal RNA", at positions 8 to 819 of the family's 1533-position model. Lineage: Bacteria; Pseudomonadati; Pseudomonadota; Betaproteobacteria. The record is from RNAcentral.